GACGAACGCUGGCGGCGUGCUUAACACAUGCAAGUCGAACGGCAAGGCCCUGCUUUUGUGGGGUGCUCGAGUGGCGAACGGGUGAGUAACACGUGAGUAUCCUGCUCUUGACUUUGGGAUAACUUCAGGUAACUGGGGUUAAUACCGGACAGGAGCUGCCGCUGCAUGGUGGGGGUUGGAAAGUUUCGGCGGUCGGGGAUGGACUCGCGGCUUAUCGGCUUGUUGGUGGGUUAGUGGCUGACCAAGGCUUUGACGGGUAGCCGGCCGGGGUGGGUGACCGGCCACAUUGGGCCUGAGAUAAGGACCAGAGUGGUACGGGGGACAGCAGUGGGAAAUAUUACACAAUGGGCGGAAGCGUGAGGCAGCAACGCUGCGUGCGGGAUGACGGCCUGCGGGUUGAAAAUCGCAUCCGCCUGAGACGAAGCGUGAGUGACGGUAAUGGGUAAAGAAGCACCGGCUAACUUCGUG
This 468-nucleotide ribosomal RNA is filed under the name uncultured bacterium. RNAcentral describes it as "partial 16S ribosomal RNA". It matches the Rfam family "Bacterial small subunit ribosomal RNA", at positions 28 to 507 of the family's 1533-position model. The record is from RNAcentral.